This 224-nucleotide long non-coding RNA is filed under the name Mytilus galloprovincialis (Mediterranean mussel). Lineage: Eukaryota; Metazoa; Mollusca; Bivalvia; Mytilida; Mytilidae. The record is from RNAcentral.
GAAUUUGAAUUAAGAAAUAUUUUCAAAAUUUAUAAUUGAUAGUCAUAUUUCUUAUGAAAAUGAAAAAAAAUAUAUAUAGUCAAUUAUAAUCUAAUUCAAUUUUUAUUUAUCUUUUUAUCUGAGUUUACCUGUAAAAUGAAUGCGCGCAAAUGUAAUCAAAAGCUGCGCGCAAACGUAAAACAUUUUAAUCCCCAAAUGCGCGCAAACGUAGUGCGCCCAUUCAG